RNAcentral lists this small RNA (114 nucleotides) under Tumebacillus flagellatus. RNAcentral's name for it is "Guanidine-I sequence". It matches the Rfam family "Guanidine-I riboswitch aptamer". Rfam says of the family: This family represents a conserved RNA structure found upstream of the ykkC and yxkD genes in Bacillus subtilis and related genes in other bacteria. The function of this family is unclear although it has been suggested that it may function to switch on efflux pumps and detoxification systems in response to harmful environmental molecules. Nelson showed that this riboswitch senses and responds to guanidine and it was renamed Guanidine-I riboswitch. Lineage: Bacteria; Bacillati; Bacillota; Bacilli; Caryophanales; Alicyclobacillaceae. The record is from Rfam by way of RNAcentral.
UGAAAGUGCGUCUAGGGUUCCGUCCUGUUUGUUUUUUUCAGGAGCUGGUCCGAGCGGCGCAGGCGUGUUUUUUUUCAGAACACGCUACACCUUGGGGAGAAAAGCCCGGAAGGA